Molecule: ribosomal RNA, 284 nt
Filed under: uncultured diatom
Lineage: Eukaryota; Bacillariophyta
Description: partial 18S ribosomal RNA
Rfam family: Eukaryotic small subunit ribosomal RNA
Source: RNAcentral
CGUAUAUUAAAGUUGUUGCAGUUAAAAAGCUCGUAGUUGGAUUUGUGGUGUUUGGCUGAGUCCCAGCAUUGUCUGGGUGCUCGUGUUGAAUGCCAUCCUUGGGUGGAAGCAGUGUGGCAUUAGGUUGUCGUGCUGUGGAUGCCCAUCGUUUACUGUGAAAAAAUCAGCGCGUUCAAAGCAGGCUUAUGCCGUUGAAUGUAUUAGCAUGGAAUAAUAAGAUAGGACCUUGGUACUAUUUUGUUGGUUUGCGCACCGAGGUAAUGAUUAAUAGGGACAGUUGGGGG